This is a long non-coding RNA of Passer domesticus (house sparrow), 7292 nucleotides long. RefSeq lists it as uncharacterized. Lineage: Eukaryota; Metazoa; Chordata; Aves; Passeriformes; Passeridae. The transcript is spliced from 2 exons. The record is from RefSeq and is a predicted model, not a curated record.
CACCGUGUCCUGGAGAGAAAACAUCAUGUGUGGCUUCCUUACUCUGAAAUUAGGCAGAGAGAAGGAAGCGUAUGGGUGGUAGGGGAUGGAAAGCCUCUGUGUGUAAAGCCUUGAAAAAGACCUAAAACAAACAAACAAACAAAAAAAAUUAAAAAACAAAACAAAAAAGUCCCAAAGAAAACGCCAAGCAAAAAAGAGAGGAUUUGGUUAUCUGGAGCCCCUCUGCUCUGGAGCCAGGCUGGCAGAGCUGGGGGUGCUCACCUGCAGAGGAGAAGGCUCCAGGGACACCUCAGAGCCCCUGCCAGGGCCUAAAGGGGCUCCAGGAGAGCUGCAGAGGGACUGGGGACAAGGCAUGGAGGGACAGGACACAGGGAAUGGCUCCCACUGCCAGAGGGCAGGGCUGGAUGGGAUAUUGGGAAUUAGGAAUUGUUCCCUGGGAGGGUGGGCAGGCCCUGGCACAGGGUGCCCAGAGCAGCUGUGGCUGCCCCUGGAUCCCUGGCAGUGCCCAAGGCCAGGCUGGGCAGGGCUUGGAGCAGCCUGGGACAGUGGGAGGUGUCCCUGCCAUGGCAGGCGUGGAGCGAGAUGAGCUUUAAGGUUCCUCCCAAGCUAUUCCAUAAAAAGGGCUAUGAAGGCACCCAGGGGCUGCAGAGUGGGGGUCUCUGGAAGACCCCAGCCCUACUGGUCAGUGCUUCUCCAGGAUUUCAAGUCUGGGAGUUGGUUGGGGCAUUAUUUUUAGGAAUCAUUGAGACUGAAGCAGAGAGGAGAACAGGAAACCCUGGUCUGCCAUGUCUCCAUCCACAGGGGAUUCUGCUCCAACUGCUGUGUGUGCUGAGAUCCCCUUAACUCAAAAUUGAUAUGUGACUUUGCACAGAAAAAGCCAGAGGGGGAGGUGGGCAUCAAGGAUAAUUAAAUAAAUGGAGUAGCUUUCACCCAGGGAACAACUAUACAGGCUGGGAUGCUUGAUCCAGGGCAGGAAAUGGCAAGUGAAUAAGACAGAAAGCAGAAGAAAUUAAUUUUUCCCCAGGUCAGAGAAGUCUGCAUGGAUCUUCAUGAGGACAGUGGGAGAUUUCUGGUUCUAUGAGAUAAAUCUCUGAAACAAAGAUUAUCUUCUCCUGGAGCCCAGGGUAGGAUUUGCAGACCUGGUUACUGGAAACCCACCAAGACCAUGGGGUUUUCUGCCCUCAAAAGCAACUGAAAUGUUUUGACCAAAAUUCCCUAUUUUUCCCAUGUUUUCACUGUGAUUGUGCCCCCAGAAGAGAGCAUUUCAUCUGCUGUGGGUAAUGUGUGACAGUGCUGUAAGCAAAGAAAAAUUGUGUCCUGUAAAGCGCAGUGUCUUGAAAUUUUGAUCACAGAGGAUCAGCCUCAUUUUUAAUUACAAAUAUACACAGAUUUGUACAAUUACACAUCCCAGCUGGCUCUGAGGGCAAGUGCUCAAGGUUGCCCCUCUUUUCCUGAAAGCACUGGCAAUUUACUUGUGGGAAAACUUAUUUUAUAUCCUUGGGAAAAUAUAAGGGUGUUGCUGUUGCCCUCUGAGAUGUUUUUAGGUCCUGCCCACGCCAGGAAUGGCCACAGAGCUUUUGCAUCAGCAGGCAAAGGAGCAAGCACUGAAAUAUCAGGGAAGGAAAGGGAGGAAUGGCUUCAUUCUCACAGAUUCCUGCAUAAAAUAGGGGCUAAAGCACGUCUUCAAAAUGAUUGAGCGAGGACACUGCUCAUUACAUAAGGUUGUUGGGGGGAAAAAAAUAGGCUGAUUUACAUUUUUAUAGGAAAUAAAAGGAGGUUUGUGGGUGACAUAGCACCUUCCUCUGAGAAUGUCAGCAUGAGAUAAGUGGGCUUCAAAGGGAAGAGUAACCAUUUUCCUGCAGGGACAGAGUCCAUCCAGAGAGCUGAGUCUGGGAGAAAAAUGCUUUUUGAAGGAAAUUUUUGUUGCCGUUACAAAUACGUUUAUUUAGCACAAUUCACAUUGACUGCGAGGCUGCUACUUCUCCUUUCUGCUGGUUCCUCUGAAUUUUGGUGAAGCUUUAGGUAGCAGGAAAACCAAACUGCCUCUGUUUUGUGGAUGUGGUGUUUUCAGGGCAGGAGGAGAGGUCGAUGUGCUUUUUAGGAGUGGGGGGAUUUUGUCAGGGCUGGAGUUCAGUGAUACUUUAAUUUCAUUCACAGCGAGUCGCCUGGUGGGGUUUUACCCUGGUUUCAGGUUGGUGGCCCUCUGAGAUUUGCUGUGCUGUGCUUCAGAUCCGUGGCUGUCUGGCAGAACAAUUCCGGUUGCUCAAAAGCACCGAUUAGCAUAAAUGAAGGAGUGGGUGAAAUGUUCAUUAUAUUGCCUACUGUCAUGUUUGUGUACCAGAUUUUGUUACCAUCUGUCAUUUCUGUUUUCUUGUUGUUGCCAAAAGUUGUCAUUCUGAAUGGAGGGUGGAGACUUAUCUUCAAAAGCCAACAUGAGAUAAUUUUAGGUACUUCAGGGCUCAUGUGCUCCGUGCUGGGUGUCAGUGGCCCUCAUGUACAUCAGCCCCACGUGUCUUUGGUAAAAUCUGGGCAAUGGUUUAGUUAAAGGAGUUUUUGAAACCAUUGGGGUCAUGCAAAUGCACAAGAUUCUCAUCUCUUGUAAUUUAAAAAGAGUGUCCAGUCCUUGCAAUUGAAAAGAAAAGCUUGAAAAUAAAAUACGUUUUCCUUAAUCUUAAAAAAAAAAUAAAAAAUACAGGGUACAGAGAAGGGUGCAUGUGGGGACACGGCAGUGUUAAAGUCCAAGGAGCUGCCCAGAGAUCUGACUGAGGGAAGCAACAGCUCUGCUAUAACGGACUGCAGCACCCCCAGACCAUUUCCAGAGAUGUAAAUAUCCCAGGGACUGAAGCUGGACAAAUUCAACCUUGAGAUGAGCCGCAGCUCUCUUGCAGGAGCGGUGGCUGCGUGCUGCGACAGCGCGCGAGGGGAGCAGUGCCUGCACUGGGGCCUGCAGCCUCUCCAGCAGAAUUAGCUCAUUGCAACCACACAGCUUUAGUGCAGGGACUGGGAGGAAGGGCUCAGCCUGCAAGCAGGGGGCUGGGGGGUGAAGCCUUGAGGAUUUCUUGUCUUGUCCAAGUGUUUUGUGAUCAUCCGGUCUGGAUCAUCCUCCUUCCAUCGGGCUGGAGCACCAGGUGCUGCUGUGAACUGUCAAAUCCUCCCUGGCAGUGCCAGGCCCAUGCUGGCAACUCGUCACCUCCCAUGUCAGCCCACAGCAGCUCUGCUCUCCCCAGGGUUGCUGGGUUUUCAUCUGGCCUGAGUGACAGGGCUCAAUGUUCACCUGAAAUGCAGUGACUUGUGACAUCCAAAAAUGCAGAAAAGAUGAUCUAAUUACUUCAACUGGACUUAAACUCCAGGAAAAUAUAAAGCCAGACAGUUUGGGGAUUUUUUUUUGUUAGUUUGGGCUCAGCCAGUGGUGCAAAGUCAUAACCAAAGCCAUGAUGUGCCAGUGUUGUGGUGAGAACUCUCACUGGUGUGGGAGUGCAGAGGGUCACUGCUUCCUCCAGGAGAGCUGGGGAAGGAGGAGAUGGAGCUGCCUUUGCUCUGGAAGCAGCAGAGAUCACUCUAGACAUCUCUGAUCAAAGGCUUGGGGGUGACCAGGACCAUGCAAUGACUGCAGUAAUUAAUGGGUACUUCUUCAAAGAUGUCUCAGGUAUCUCUGUUUUGUGUUGUGAUCUGUAUUAUGCACCUUCCAGUGCCUAAAGGGGCUCCAGGAGAGCUGGAGAGGGACUUUAGACGAGAGUCUGGAGUCACAGGACAAGGUUUCCCACUGCCAGAGGGAUAUUGGGAAGAAAUUUUUCUCUGUGAAGCUGGUCAGGCCCAGGCACAGGGUGCCCAGAGCAGCUGUGGCUGCCCCUGGAUCCCUGGAAGUGCCCAAGGCCAGGUUGGACAGGACUUGGAGCACCCUGGGGUAGUGGAAAGUGUCCCUGCCCAUGGCAGGGAGUGGAACAAUAUGGGCUUUAAGGUCCCUUCCAACCCCAACCAGUCUGUGAUUCUAUGAAAGCCCUGUAUUUUAUCAAAUCUUUGGAUUCUUUUAUAAUACAGAUUUGAGGUAACAGCUCUGUCAUGUUUUAACACUUCAAUAACGUAAAUUGUCUUUCCUAGCUCAAAUUCUCCCAUAUUUGCUCUCUCCCAGAGGAUAAUUCUACAAAGCUCAUGAGCAAAUUCCACACAAGCCUUUCAGGAUGCUGUGAACAUCACUGACAGCCGUUGUGAAAAAGUUGGGUCUGGGUUUGUUUCACAAGUGUGAAAUAAUUUUCAGAGCUCUCAUAUUCAAACCAGCCUGGUAAAUUGCCCUAAAUGAGCACGAAGUGUCAUCUUGUGUGGAUGACAGAGGAAGCUGGAAUGCAGCUGAGAAGCCUUUGGACAAGCAGGAAGAAGUGGGCUUGGGCCAUGGGGAGUGGAGCUGACCUGGCAGAGGAGCCAAAUGGGCUGAUUGAGCAGAUGUGACCACACACGGGAUGUGGAGGAGCUGGGCAUUGAGAUGAGGUGCAGUAGUUUGUCAGGCCCUGCUCCAGGGUGACAAUGAUGGGACCUCCAGGCUGGGUGACUGACAGCUGAUCUGGCUCCACUUCCCUGGUCAGCACAAGGCUGGGAUAAGCUGAUACAGGGUGGAAGAAAAGCAGAAAAAAAAGGGAAUUUCUCAUCUUAACACCUAAUGUGCUGCUGGCUUAAGACAGGAAGAGAAGCGACCUCGGCUGAUCUAAGAGGGAAGCACAGAGCACAUCGACAGCCAAGCCAUGAAACUCCACAGCACAGGAAUGAACCAUUCAUGGAAUUAACCAUCGUGCCCAAGGUGGACAGCCUGGGGUGAAAAGUUAAUCCUGAUAUAAUUAGAGACAGCCAUGAACAGCAAAAUCGUGGAGUCACAGGUCACAGGGUGAGAUGCCACCAAGACCUUGCAGUGUGUCAAGUCUUGCAGGAAUGGGACAGGAGUGUAACAGAAAUCAUCUGCUCAUGCUUCAAAGGAGGGAGCAAUAUCCUGAGAGAGCUGGGGAAGGUUUUUCUGUCCACCAAUCAAGUGUUUGGCCUUGAGGAACUCAGGCAAGAAUAUCAUGUCCAACAAAGGAUACAAAACCCAAACAAAUUAAAAUGCAUCUGGACUGAUGUGCAGUUCCCUGUAGGCACUGGAAGACCUUGUCUCUGUGAUGCCAUCAAGGAAUGAGCAGAGGACAGAAAUGACAUGGGAGAAAUCUGGAGACACCUUUCAAGGGAUGAGGAAUCAUCCAACCCCUCUGGUUUGAAGAUGCUGACAGGCCACUGCUCUGAGCUGUGUGGAGGGAGCAGAAUGAAUGGAGGGAAGCACGAGCCCUGGUGGGAAGGUCUUGCUCCAAGAUAAAGGUUCAGGCAAGAGGUGGAACCUGUGUGAAUUUGGCAGAGGGGAGUGUGAGCAGUGCUCACUCCUGAGCUCACAGCUCAGCACCCAAGCUCAGACUGAGCAUCUGGGAUUCAGCUCACACCAAGCUGUGAGUGGCAGCACCUGAAGAGCUUGUGAAUGCUCUCUCCUGCUGGUGGUGCAAUGGGAAGGCCACAUCUUUAACAACCAGGGGACAAGGCAGGGAGGGGGGAAACACUGAAAUCUUCCCAUCUCAAGUGGCCAGAGUGUAUCUAUGGGCAUCCCAGCUUUCUCUGUGCUCAGGGAAGAGAUCUUUCACCAUAAUCUGCAGCGGAAAAAAUGUUCUGUGUCUUUUUUUUGGCCUAUGUUGGCUGAAACCGCCCAUAAACCACUAAUUGCCACUGCUAAAAGGGAGCUGGCAGACAUGAAAUUUGCCCAGAUUACCCAGAUUACUAUUUUAUGGGUAGAAAUAUGAUUUCAAACUGACUGCGGGACAGGUUGCAAACUGGUGUCAGAGAGAUGAGAAACCAAAAUGUAGCAGAGCCCAAAGACAGACAUUUUUUUGUGGCAGUUUACUUUAAAAAUAAAGCAAAUGGACUGCUGUGUCGCAGACAAAGUCUGAGAUUGUCGAGCAACAACCCUGAGUGAGAGCACAAAGAUUUAUACAGGUUUUUCUUAAGAGUUUGUCAGGCAUGGCAAAGUUACAGGCUUCACAUCUGGGACUUAAGAAAGAAGGACCCCUCAGAGUGACAGAUUCAAUUAUGCUGAUGACAGAAGACUCUGUUUUUCUUGAACUGCUACUCUUGCUUUUGUGAGAUAGCCUUACAUAUUACUUGGGGGAUUCCUCCACAUCAGAGUUAGAUGGUCCUGACAGACGAUGGGCAAGAUUCUGAGCAAUUUGCUGAAAAGCCCAAGUCUGCAUCCAGUCCCCACGGGACUCUAUUCAACAAGUAGGUAGGAAAUGGCUUUACAUGAAUGAAUACUUAAUGAAAAGGAGAGCAGAAUCAGAUCUGAUUGGUGCUUGUGGGGUAUCGCCCACAGAACAUGUUUAGCCACCUGCAAAUACUCCUUCUGCAUGAAAUGAAGCAAGGAGACCCUUUGGGACGUGUGUCAAGCUCUGUAGCCCAAGGAGCCAAGGGUUUGCAGAAGUUCACAGACACCCAGCUAAACACCAAACAGUGCUGUGAUUGCGGUCCCUGGGUUACCACCACUUCCUGAACACCACGGAAUUCACACACACAAUGAAAAUCAGAAGCCAGAAACAGCAGUUAUUUCACAUAAAAUUGCUCCACAAUCCCAUGAGUACAGGGUGUGUGUAACCAGACAUGCCUGGAGAAAGAAUAGGCAGCACCUUCUGCAGCAGCCAGAAGGAGAAGAGGCAACAGGCUCUGAGCUUCUCUUCUAUCCUGGAAGAGCUUUGGCAGCACAUGGGGAGGGUAAGGCCACCAGGUGCUGGGACAUAACAUCACCAGGAAAAACAGACUCCCAUUCCCAAUGAGAACUCCUCUGGUGGUGCCACAAUGACUACAAGUUACAGGGCAGAGCUCCUCAGAUGUUAUUCAAACACUGCUAAUUGUUUGGCUGUAAGGUUUUGAGGUCACAAGCUAUAGAAAUGAUACUUCCAUGGUUUGGGUGGGGAAGGGAGGUAGGACCUCAGGAACUGUGUCUUUAAGCAGCUUAGUUCUGGAGACAGGAAGUCUGGCGAUGGGCUGCAGCAGUGCAGAUUUUAUUAUGCAAUUUCUCUUGGAACUAGUCCCUGAAUAAAGGAGUUAUCCAUUAAGCACCUGCUUCACCCUCCCUCCUGAGCACCACAAACAAAGGUCUCAGGAAUCCUUUCAAGAGCUUACCCAUCAGUGGGGAAGCAGGGAGCCAUGCACUGGGGUCCAGACUGGCAAUAUUGACAUAUUUGAUUUAUAGUGUCUUUCAAAGGGUUUCUCUUCAUUAAAUCCUCUUAUUCUGUUUG